UACGGGGGGGGCAAGCGUUGUUCGGAAUUACUGGGCGUAAAGCGUGCGCAGGCGGAAGUUAAGUCUGAUGUGAAAGCCCCGGGCUCAACCUGGGAAUGGCGAUGGAAACUGGCGGGCUGGAGUAUGGCAGAGGGGGGUGGAAUUCCGCGUGUAGCAGUGAAAUGCGUAGAGAUGCGGAGGAACACCGAUGGCGAAGGCAGCCCCCUGGGCCAAUACUGACGCUCAGGCACGAAAGCGUGGGGAGCAAACAGG
This 252-nucleotide ribosomal RNA is filed under the name uncultured bacterium. RNAcentral describes it as "partial 16S ribosomal RNA". It matches the Rfam family "Bacterial small subunit ribosomal RNA", at positions 524 to 776 of the family's 1533-position model. The record is from RNAcentral.